GCCUCUGCAGGAAGGGCGGGAAAGGUUGGGCUGCGUGUCUCCGGAGGACGGCUCGGGGCCUGGCGGGACCUUGCUUAGGCUCCCGGGGUCCAGAGAAGUGGGAGCGUGACUCCGGGAGCGGCGGCGAGGUCUUGUUAAGCUUUCGGCGGACCAGGACGAAACUGGGACACUGAAAAGGCAAGAGACGAAACAAACUUGGAAUUCAGGCAGAGAGCUACAACAAAACCAGAGAGGAAAAGUAGCCAAUCAGAGUUUCACUGGAGGGACGUGGGGAAAGUCAAGGAAGAGUAAGAGAGAGGAUCCCAGGCAGGCUCCAUGCCCAGUACAGAGCCUGACGUGGGGCUCAAUCUCCAACCCCAAGACCAUGAACUGAACAGAAACCAAGUGUCGGAUAGUUAACCAACUGAGCCACCCAGGCGCAUUGCCCUGCCCCACCUGUGAGUAGAUUCGUAAUAUAGCUUUGGAAUCUUACUAUAUUUCCCUAUAACAUCCUCAAAUUUCCGUAUACAUCAGAAUGACCAGGGCCUGUUAAUAAAACGCAGUUGAAACUCUGGUAUCGGGAUCCC
RNAcentral lists this long non-coding RNA (566 nucleotides) under Canis lupus dingo (dingo). Its description in RNAcentral is "lncRNA (ENSCAFG00020008852.1)". The record is from RNAcentral. Lineage: Eukaryota; Metazoa; Chordata; Mammalia; Carnivora; Canidae.